This 88-nucleotide transfer RNA is filed under the name Nitrospira moscoviensis. RNAcentral's name for it is "tRNA-Leu". Lineage: Bacteria; Pseudomonadati; Nitrospirota; Nitrospiria; Nitrospirales; Nitrospiraceae. The record is from RNAcentral.
GUGAGGGGUUGUGUGGAAAGACGCGAGGGACUUAAAAUCCCUCGGGCCCAAAAGGCCCGUACCGGUUCGAUCCCGGUCUCCGGCACCA